AUUUAUAUAGUUUAAAAAAACAUUACAUUUUCAUUGUAAAAAUAAAAAUUUUUUUUUUAUAAGUA
This 65-nucleotide transfer RNA is filed under the name Gynaephora aureata. RNAcentral's name for it is "tRNA-Glu". The record is from RNAcentral. Lineage: Eukaryota; Metazoa; Arthropoda; Insecta; Lepidoptera; Erebidae.